RNAcentral lists this ribosomal RNA (433 nucleotides) under uncultured bacterium. RNAcentral describes it as "partial 16S ribosomal RNA". It matches the Rfam family "Bacterial small subunit ribosomal RNA", at positions 29 to 507 of the family's 1533-position model. The record is from RNAcentral.
GCGCACGCUGGCGGCAGGCCUAACCCAUGCAAGUCGAACGAACCUUUCGGGGUUAGUGGCGGACGGGUGAGUAACACGUGGGAACGUGCCUUUAGGUUCGGAAUAACUCAGGGAAACUUGUGCUAAUACCGAAUGUGCCCUUCGGGGGAAAGAUUAAUCGCCUUUAGAGCGGCCCGCGUCUGAUUAGCUAGUUGGUUGAGGUAAUGGCUCACCAAGGCGACGAUCAGUAGCUGGUCUGAGAGGAUGAUCAGCCACAUUGGGACUGAGACACGGCCCAAACUCCUACGGGAGGCAGCAGUGGGGAAUCUUGCGCAAUGGGCGAAAGCCUGACGCAGCCAUGCCGCGUGAAUGAUGAAGGUCUUAGGAUUGUAAAAUUCUUUCACCGGGGACGAUAAUGACGGUACCCGGAGAAGAAGCCCCGGCUAACUUCGUG